RNAcentral lists this ribosomal RNA (301 nucleotides) under uncultured bacterium. RNAcentral describes it as "partial 16S ribosomal RNA". It matches the Rfam family "Bacterial small subunit ribosomal RNA", at positions 509 to 807 of the family's 1533-position model. The record is from RNAcentral.
CAGUAGCCGCGGUAAUACGUAGGGUGCAAGCGUUAAUCGGAAUUACUGGGCGUAAAGCGUGCGCAGGCGGUUAUAUAAGACAGAUGUGAAAUCCCCGGGCUCAACCUGGGAACUGCAUUUGUGACUGUAUAGCUAGAGUACGGCAGAGGGGGAUGGAAUUCCGCGUGUAGCAGUAAAAUGCGUAGAUAUGCGGAGGAACACCGAUGGCGAAGGCAAUCCCCUGGGCCUGUACUGACGCUCAUGCACGAAAGCGUGGGGAGCAAACAGGAUUAGAUACCCCCGUAGUCCCUGUCUCUUAUAC